UCUCUGGUAGUAUAUCGGCUAGUACACGCACCUGUCAUCGAGAUUAUCUUGGAUAUCGUUGUUACUGCCCGAAAGCUGGGUUCGACUCCCAGCCAGAGAG
Molecule: non-coding RNA, 100 nt
Organism: Rhodocollybia butyracea
Lineage: Eukaryota; Fungi; Basidiomycota; Agaricomycetes; Agaricales; Omphalotaceae
Source: the annotation of a GenBank genome assembly